GGAUGCGAUCAUAGCAGCACUAAAGCACCGGAUCCCAUCAGAACUCCGAAGUUAAGCGUGCUUGGGCGAGAGUAGUACUAGGAUGGGUGACCUCCUGGGAAGUCCUCGUGUUGCAUUCC
Non-coding RNA from Triticum aestivum (bread wheat), 119 nucleotides. The record is from Rfam. Lineage: Eukaryota; Viridiplantae; Streptophyta; Magnoliopsida; Poales; Poaceae.